This 1390-nucleotide long non-coding RNA is filed under the name Lactuca sativa (garden lettuce). Its description in RNAcentral is "long non-coding RNA (LSAT_LNC003347)". Lineage: Eukaryota; Viridiplantae; Streptophyta; Magnoliopsida; Asterales; Asteraceae. The record is from RNAcentral.
AACUUGUGAACCCGUUUAAAUAAAUGGGUUGGUGGAUCAUAUAUGGGUUUAUGUUCCAAACCCGUCAACCCGUGACCCGCCAACCAGUGACAUGUAUAUUUAAAUGAGUUGUGUUUGGAUUGACAUAUUUUGACACGCCAACCCGAACACGACACGAUUGUCAGGCCUACUCCCAGAAAAUAAAAUUACUGAAAUACCAUUGUGUAUUUAUUUUUAAUUUUUCUUUCAUUUUUAUCUAUAAUAAUUAAAAAAAUAAUCGAGGGCUCUCUCCCCCUGGCGCGCACACACAUCCAUUCACCUGGUCUUCUUCUUCCUCAAGAAAACCCACAUCUCCAUUGACAUCGGAAGUCAUCUCAGCCUCCGCCACCACCGGCGACAACCUCUCAUACGCCAACACCAUCAAUGAGGUCACUAUGCACCAGUAGCCUCCCAACCAUUCUCAAGUUUCCAUUUUGCCAUUGCCCCAAAUCCCCCUUUCUUCAAAUCCUUCUUCCUCUAAAUCCAUCACCACAUUUUCAAAGUUCAAAUAUUUUUUUAUCAAAUAUCACAAAUCUAACAAAAAAACUCAUAACAUUAAUCACAUCAUCACCAUCGUCAUCGAUGGCUUCCACAACUCAGACAGACAAAAGUACAGAAAAACCUUAUCUGUUCUAUUCGUUUGCUUGGGAAACAUUUGUAGAAUCCCAUCUGCCGAAGGCGUUUUCACUGAUUUGGUCAACAAAACGAGAUCUUUUUUCCAAAUUUCUCAUCUUCUGCUUUGAUUUUGAACCUAGAAACCAUUCAUAAACUACCCAUUUUAGUCUCUACCCAAAUCAAUCCUUAUCUCCCUUCUCCUUGACCAUCAACAUAAAAAAUUUGAUUCUGAAACCUAAUCUUAAUCUGAAUCAAUUUCUGAAACCCAAUAACUAUACUGACUUCUUCCUUAUGCUCAAAUGCUUUGAGUUAUUGAUUCCAGAGGACCUGAGUGAAACGUAGAAAACCCUGAAACGAAAUUCGAAAGCAUUCGAAACCCACCACACAUCUUCUUCAAAACCCAGAUCUUAAAGCUUCGAUUUUGUCUAUUUGCUGAAUCGAAACCUAAAAAAUGACUUGUUUUAUAUACUGUUUUUCAUCGUUAUGUGCAAGUAUAUAUGUGUGUUUAUAGUGUGUGUGUGUGUGUGUUAAACACAUGUCUUAUAGCUUCGACUGUGUGUUUUCAUCAAGAGACAUCAGAGAUGUAAGCAGGGAUGGAGAUGAUGAAGAUCUUCACCUGAUAAGUCAUCUUGUAGAGAGACAUUUGUUGAAGAUGCAUUGCGUUAACGGUGAAGAUUGAAGAAGAUGAACAAGUCCUCUCGUGUAAUUCUUCACCCAAUCAACUUUCAUCAAGAAAGAGAGAGACAAGAGAGAGAAA